RNAcentral lists this ribosomal RNA (413 nucleotides) under uncultured bacterium. RNAcentral describes it as "bacterial SSU rRNA". It matches the Rfam family "Bacterial small subunit ribosomal RNA", at positions 358 to 773 of the family's 1533-position model. The record is from RNAcentral.
GGAAUAUUGCGCAAUGGGCGAAAGCCUGACGCAGCGACGCCGCGUGGGGGAUGAAGGUUUUCGGAUUGUAAACUCCUUUCAUGAGGAAAGAUAAAGUGGGUAACCACUUAGACGGUACCUCAAGAAGAAGCCACGGCUAACUUCGUGCCAGCAGCCGCGGUAAUACGAAGGUGGCAAGCGUUGUUCGGAUUUACUGGGCGUAAAGAGCACGUAGGCGGUUGGGAAAGCCUCUUGGGAAAUCUCCCGGCUUAACCGGGAAAGGUCGAGAGGAACUAUUCAGCUAGAGGACGGGAGAGGAGCGCGGAAUCCCCGGUGUAGCGGUGAAAUGCGUAGAUAUCGGGAAGAAGGCCGGUGGCGAAGGCGGCGCUCUGGGCCGAUACCGACGCUGAGGAGCGAAAGCAUGGGGAGCAAAC